GAGUUGAUCCUGGCUCAGAUUGAACGCUGGCGGCAGCCUAACACAUGCAAGUCGAGCGGUAGAGAGAAGCUUGCUCUCUGAGAGCGGCGGACGGGUGAGUAAUGCCUAGGAAUCUGCCUGGUAGUGGGGGAUAACGUUCGGAAACGGACGCUAAUACCGCAUACGUCCUACGGGAGAAAGCAGGGGACCUUCGGGCCUUGCGCUAUCAGAUGAGCCUAGGUCGGAUUAGCUAGUUGGUGGGGUAAUGGCUCACCAAGGCGACGAUCCGUAACUGGUCUGAGAGGAUGAUCAGUCACACUGGAACUGAGACACGGUCCAGACUCCUACGGGAGGCAGCAGUGGGGAAUAUUGGACAAUGGGCGAAAGCCUGAUCCAGCCAUGCCGCGUGUGUGAAGAAGGUCUUCGGAUUGUAAAGCACUUUAAGUUGGGAGGAAGGGCAGUUGCCUAAUACGUAACUGUUUUGACGUUACCGACAGAAUAAGCACCGGCUAACUCUGUGCCAGCAGCCGCGGUAAUACAGAGGGUGCAAGCGUUAAUCGGAAUUACUGGGCGUAAAGCGCGCGUAGGUGGUUUGUUAAGUUGGAUGUGAAAUCCCCGGGCUCAACCUGGGAACUGCAUUCAAAACUGACUGACUAGAGUAUGGUAGAGGGUGGUGGAAUUUCCUGUGUAGCGGUGAAAUGCGUAGAUAUAGGAAGGAACACCAGUGGCGAAGGCGACCACCUGGACUGAUACUGACACUGAGGUGCGAAAGCGUGGGGAGCAAAC
RNAcentral lists this ribosomal RNA (765 nucleotides) under uncultured bacterium. RNAcentral describes it as "bacterial SSU rRNA". It matches the Rfam family "Bacterial small subunit ribosomal RNA", at positions 9 to 773 of the family's 1533-position model. The record is from RNAcentral.